UUCGGAUUUUGUCGAUUUGUCAUUCUGAACUCUGAACACGGAACAGUGAACACAAUGACGAUAUACUUUUAUAAUAAUAUAUUAUUGUACCUACAAUUAUGAAUAUUUUUUUCGUUUUGUUCAAAAAGAUUUGAAAUAAAUAUUUCCAUGAAAACUUGGUUACCAGAAGAGAUAUUAUUUUGAACAAGAAUUUAAUUAACAUAAUUAUUUUAUAAUAAAAUAUGUUAAAUUAAAUAUGAAUAUAUGACGUAUAAUGGAAGUAAUGUAGAGUGCUUGAUUUGGAAAAAAACUAGAAGAGGGACUCAGUGGAUGUUGGAUGAACGAGCGUUCCACACAAAAUUCAAUAUCACAUUACUGUGCGGAGCAAAGCAAAG
Long non-coding RNA from Rhopalosiphum padi (bird cherry-oat aphid), 374 nucleotides. RefSeq lists it as uncharacterized. The transcript is spliced from 3 exons. The record is from RefSeq and is a predicted model, not a curated record. NCBI's taxonomy places the organism in Eukaryota, Metazoa, Arthropoda, Insecta, Hemiptera, Aphididae.